Molecule: ribosomal RNA, 468 nt
Filed under: uncultured bacterium
Lineage: Bacteria
Description: partial 16S ribosomal RNA
Rfam family: Bacterial small subunit ribosomal RNA
Source: RNAcentral
GACGAACGCUGGCGGCGUGCUUAACACAUGCAAGUCGAACGGAAAGGCCCUGCUUUUGUGGGGUGCUCGAGUGGCGAACGGGUGAGUAACACGUGAGUAACCUGCCCUUGACUUUGGGAUAACUUCAGGAAACUGGGGCUAAUACCGGAUAGGAGCUCCUGCUGCAUGGUGGGGGUGGGAAAGUUUCGGCGGUUGGGGAUGGACUCGCGGCUUAUCAGCUUGUUGGUGGGGUAGUGGCUUACCAAGGCUUUGACGGGUAGCCGGCCUGAGAGGGUGACCGGCCACAUUGGGACUGAGAUACGGACCAGACUCCUACGGGAGGCAGCAGUGGGGAAUAUUGCACAAUGGGCGGAAGCCUGAUGCAGCAACGCCGCGUGCGGGAUGACGGCCUUCGGGUUGUAAACCGCUUUAGCCUGUGACGAAGCGUGAGUGACGGUAAUGGGUAAAGAAGCACCGGCUAACUACGUG